GUCAGAGGAGAAAACACUUCGUCUUGAUCUGAGAGCAGGACUGAGAGGAACACAGAGCAGCUUCUUCUCUCCUCAAGUUUCUUCACUCAUGGAAAAGAGUCUGUAAGAAGACGUGAAGAGAGUUCAGAAUAAAGGUCAGACUCUUUCAACAUUGGUUCCUGACUGAACUUUGUCUCGCCUCAAAUGUGGAACAUGUUUUAUCAAUCUGUGGAACAGAAAAUGGACAAACAGCAGUGACUGAAGAUGUCAGAUGUGGAUGAAGAGGAGGGCAGGUCAGGUGUGGACAGGUAAGA
Salarias fasciatus (jewelled blenny) is the source of this 293-nucleotide long non-coding RNA. RefSeq lists it as uncharacterized. The transcript has 3 exons. The record is from RefSeq and is a predicted model, not a curated record. NCBI's taxonomy places the organism in Eukaryota, Metazoa, Chordata, Actinopteri, Blenniiformes, Blenniidae.